RNAcentral lists this ribosomal RNA (397 nucleotides) under uncultured bacterium. RNAcentral's name for it is "partial 16S ribosomal RNA". It matches the Rfam family "Bacterial small subunit ribosomal RNA", at positions 523 to 918 of the family's 1533-position model. The record is from RNAcentral.
AUACGUAGGGGGCGAGCGUUGUCCGGAAUGAUUGGGCGUGAAGGGCGCGUAGGCGGCCCGGUAAGUCUGGAGUGAAAGUCCUGUUUUUAAGAUGGGAAUUGCUUUGGAUACUGUCGGGCUUGAGUGCAGGAGAGGUAAGUGGAAUUCCCAGUGUAGCGGUGAAAUGCGUAGAGAUUGGGAGGAACACCAGUGGCGAAGGCGACUUACUGGACUGUAACUGACGCUGAGGCGCGAAAGUGUGGGGAGCAAACAGGAUUAGAUACCCUGGUAGUCCACACUGUAAACGAUGAAUGCUAGGUGUAGGGGGUAUCGACCCCUUCUGUGCCGCAGUCAACACAAUAAGCAUUCCGCCUGGGGAGUACGGCCGCAAGGUUGAAACUCAAAGGAAUUGACGGGG